UUAAAAACAAAAUAAAUUUGUUUGUUGUUAUUUAUCAUUUCUAAAGCAUUUUCGAAGCCCAUCUCGAAUUUUACACUCCUCUAACCUAAAAUCCUAGGUUAAAAUCGCCUCCAAACGCGAUUCUCAAAUUCCAUUCCUCUGAAUUUCUUUUCUACUCCCAGUAAUGAUUUUACUUAUUAAUGUGAUAUAGCCAUAUAGGGCUUCAUUUAUCCUCUUGGUGUAAUUGAUCGAUGAAUUUGGGUUCAGAUCUAGCUGUUAAUAUCAUCGACCGCAACAAUUCUGCUGCGAAUUUUGUAGUUAGAAUCAAGCUGUGAAUUUAAUUUGUGGAUGCAGCUCAUGAAAUAGUGGAAGAACCAACACUUCCUCAUGUCCAGGUAAUUUUUCACUUUUCUUCUUAUAUAUGAAGGUGACACCUUGUCUUCUUCUAUGUGUAGGUAACAAAAUCAUAUUUUUACCAAUCUCAUGGGCACGGUACAAGAAGAGAAUAAUGCACUUAGGAACCGCAUGAGUUCAAGUAUUUAAGAUGUGCUGCUACAAAAACUCCAAUAUCUCUAAUCCAAGA
Long non-coding RNA from Spinacia oleracea (spinach), 562 nucleotides. RefSeq lists it as uncharacterized. The record is from RefSeq and is a predicted model, not a curated record. The transcript has 3 exons. NCBI's taxonomy places the organism in Eukaryota, Viridiplantae, Streptophyta, Magnoliopsida, Caryophyllales, Amaranthaceae.